CUUGACCGACCCUAGCCACAGCGGCUGCUCCCGCCCCUGUCCGUAUGUGGCCAGGAGGGCCUGCGCCUC
This 69-nucleotide antisense RNA is filed under the name Streptomyces swartbergensis. RNAcentral describes it as "ASpks TB sRNA". It matches the Rfam family "ASpks TB sRNA". Lineage: Bacteria; Bacillati; Actinomycetota; Actinomycetes; Kitasatosporales; Streptomycetaceae. The record is from Rfam by way of RNAcentral.